Populus trichocarpa (black cottonwood) is the source of this 138-nucleotide non-coding RNA. The record is from Rfam. NCBI's taxonomy places the organism in Eukaryota, Viridiplantae, Streptophyta, Magnoliopsida, Malpighiales, Salicaceae.
UAAGCUGUUUGGGGCAAAUUCUCAUUUUUUUAUAGCAGAUCCAUACCUUACUGCUCAGAAUCACUCAUUAUCGUAAGUUCGACUAAAUCAUUGACAUUGAAAGACAGAUAACAACUACUGUGUGAACAAUAACUUUUU